UCAUUGGAGGCAUGUCUCUUGCUGGUGUGU
RNAcentral lists this non-coding RNA (30 nucleotides) under Mus musculus (house mouse). Lineage: Eukaryota; Metazoa; Chordata; Mammalia; Rodentia; Muridae. The record is from RNAcentral.